GAUGAACGCUGGCGGCGUGCCUAAUACAUGCAAGUAGAACGCUGAAGGAAGGAGCUUGCUCUUUCCGGAUGAGUUGCGAACGGGUGAGUAACGCGUAGGUAACCUGCCUGGUAGCGGGGGAUAACUAUUGGAAACGAUAGCUAAUACCGCAUAACAGUAGAUGUUGCAUGAUAUCUACUUAAAAGGUGCAAUUGCACCACUACCAGAUGGACCUGCGUUGUAUUAGCUAGUUGGUGAGGUAACGGCUCACCAAGGCGACGAUACAUAGCCGACCUGAGAGGGUGAUCGGCCACACUGGGACUGAGACACGGCCCAGACUCCUACGGGAGGCAGCAGUAGGGAAUCUUCGGCAAUGGACGGAAGUCUGACCGAGCAACGCCGAGUGAGUGAAGAAGGUUUUCGGAUCGUAAAGCUCGGUUGUAAGAGAAGAACGAGUGUGAGAGUGGAAAGUUCACACUGUGACGGUAUCUUACCAGAAAGGGACGGCUAACUACGUG
Molecule: ribosomal RNA, 497 nt
Filed under: uncultured bacterium
Lineage: Bacteria
Description: partial 16S ribosomal RNA
Rfam family: Bacterial small subunit ribosomal RNA
Source: RNAcentral